CCUUUAUGUUUGUACUCUUUAUGAUAUUUCUAGGACUGUACCCCGGAACACAGAGCCAACGGGUGCCAACGAUCCCAACUUUCCCUCCAUUUUGUGCAGCUCAGAUUGGAAUUGCAAAUCAUGCGUGCUAUAUGCUGCCAUUCAUAUCCAUCCAUCCAACCUCUCAUCCAUCCCCGACACUUUCUCCUCUAUUGCCUCUGUCUCUGACUCUCUCUCCUCCUAUACAUCCUUCCUCGGACAAAUCAGGUGGCGGUGGUCACAACCACGGGCACGAUGACGAUCACAAUCACAACCACGGGCACGAUGACGAUCACAAUCACGAUCACGAUCAUGAUCACGAUCACGGGCACGGGCACGAUGACGAUCACGAUCACGGUCAUAAUCACGGGCACGAUCACGAUCACGGUCAUGGGCACGAUCACGGUCACGGGCACGAUCACGGUCACGGGCAUGAUCACGAUCACGAUCACGGUCACGGGCACGGGCACGGGCACGGGCACGGUCACAGGAAUGGAGAAAUGCAUAUUAAACGUAAAUGUUGCCGAUCGUUAAAAGGUGUUGACCCGUUCUGUGUUUGUGGAUUG
Molecule: long non-coding RNA, 584 nt
Filed under: Olea europaea (common olive)
Lineage: Eukaryota; Viridiplantae; Streptophyta; Magnoliopsida; Lamiales; Oleaceae
Description: long non-coding RNA (OEUR_LNC004748)
Source: RNAcentral